This 789-nucleotide ribosomal RNA is filed under the name uncultured bacterium. RNAcentral's name for it is "bacterial SSU rRNA". It matches the Rfam family "Bacterial small subunit ribosomal RNA", at positions 8 to 796 of the family's 1533-position model. The record is from RNAcentral.
AGAGUUUGAUCAUGGCUCAGGACGAACGCUGGCGGCGUGCUUAACACAUGCAAGUCGAACGGAAAGGCCCCUUUGGGGGUGCUCGAGUGGCGAACGGGUGAGUAACACGUGGGUGAUCUGCCCUGCACUUCGGGAUAAGCUUGGGAAACUGGGUCUAAUACCGGAUAGGACCACGGCCUGCAUGGGUUGUGGUGGAAAACGUUUUAGUGGUGUGGGAUGGGCCCGCGGCCUAUCAGCUUGUUGGUGGGGUGAUGGCCUACCAAGGCGACGACGGGUAGCCGGCCUGAGAGGGUGUCCGGCCACACUGGGACUGAGAUACGGCCCAGACUCCUACGGGAGGCAGCAGUGGGGAAUAUUGCACAAUGGGCGCAAGCCUGAUGCAGCGACGCCGCGUGGGGGAUGACGGCCUUCGGGUUGUAAACCUCUUUCACCAUCGACGAAGCUUCCGGGUUUUCUUGGGGGUGACGGUAGGUGGAGAAGAAGCACCGGCCAACUACGUGCCAGCAGCCGCGGUAAUACGUAGGGUGCGAGCGUUGUCCGGAAUUACUGGGCGUAAAGAGCUCGUAGGUGGUUUGUCGCGUUGUUCGUGAAAUUCCCUGGCUUAACUGGGGGCGUGCGGGCGAUACGGGCAGACUGGAGUACUGCAGGGGAGACUGGAAUUCCUGGUGUAGCGGUGGAAUGCGCAGAUAUCAGGAGGAACACCGGUGGCGAAGGCGGGUCUCUGGGCAGUAACUGACGCUGAGGAGCGAAAGCGUGGGGAGCGAACAGGAUUAGAUACCCCGGUAGUCC